CUACGGGAGGCAGCAGUGGGGAAUAUUGCACAAUGGGGGAAACCCUGAUGCAGCCAUGCCGCGUGUGUGAAGAAGGCCUUCGGGUUGUAAAGCACUUUCAGUAGGGAGGAAGGUAGUGUAGUUAACACCUGCAUUAUUUGACGUUACCUACAGAAGAAGCACCGGCUAACUCCGUGCCAGCAGCCGCGGUAAUACGGAGGGUGCGAGCGUUAAUCGGAAUUACUGGGCGUAAAGCGCAUGCAGGCGGCCUGUUAAGUCAGAUGUGAAAGCCCGGGGCUUAACCUCGGAAUUGCAUUUGAAACUGGCAGGCUAGAGUCUUGUAGAGGGGGUAGAAUUUCAGGUGUAGCGGUGAAAUGCGUAGAGAUCUGAAGGAAUACCAGUGGCGAAGGCGGCCCCCUGGACAAAGACUGACGCUCAGAUGCGAAAGCGUGGGGAGCAAACAGGAUUAGAUACCCUGGUAG
RNAcentral lists this ribosomal RNA (461 nucleotides) under uncultured bacterium. Its description in RNAcentral is "bacterial SSU rRNA". It matches the Rfam family "Bacterial small subunit ribosomal RNA", at positions 339 to 793 of the family's 1533-position model. The record is from RNAcentral.